Molecule: ribosomal RNA, 248 nt
Filed under: uncultured Clostridiaceae bacterium
Lineage: Bacteria; Bacillati; Bacillota; Clostridia; Eubacteriales; Clostridiaceae
Description: partial 16S ribosomal RNA
Rfam family: Bacterial small subunit ribosomal RNA
Source: RNAcentral
UACGUAGGGGGCAAGCGUUAUCCGGAUUUACUGGGUGUAAAGGGAGCGCAGACGGCCAAGCAAGUCUGAAGUGAAAUGCAUGGGCUCAACCCAUGAAUUGCUUUGGAAACUGUUAGGCUUGAGUGUCGGAGAGGUAAGCGGAAUUCCUAGUGUAGCGGUGAAAUGCGUAGAUAUUAGGAGGAACACCGGAGGCGAAGGCGGCUUACUGGACGACAACUGACGUUGAGGCUCGAAGGCGUGGGGAGCAA